RNAcentral lists this ribosomal RNA (703 nucleotides) under Burkholderia sp. M1101. Its description in RNAcentral is "bacterial SSU rRNA". It matches the Rfam family "Bacterial small subunit ribosomal RNA", at positions 65 to 763 of the family's 1533-position model. The record is from RNAcentral. Lineage: Bacteria; Pseudomonadati; Pseudomonadota; Betaproteobacteria; Burkholderiales; Burkholderiaceae.
AACGGCAGCGCGGGAGCAAUCCUGGCCGGCGAGUGGCGAACGGGUGAGUAAUACAUCGGAACGUGUGCUGUACUGGGGGAUAGGCCGGCGAAAGCCGGAUUAAUACCGCAUACGAUCUACGGAUGAAAGCGGGGGAUCGCAAGACCUCGCGCUAUAGGGGCGGCCGAUGGCGGAUUAGCUAGUUGGUGGGGUAAAGGCCCACCAAGGCGACGAUCCGUAGCUGGUCUGAGAGGACGACCAGCCACACUGGGACUGAGACACGGCCCAGACUCCUACGGGAGGCAGCAGUGGGGAAUUUUGGACAAUGGGCGCAAGCCUGAUCCAGCAAUGCCGCGUGUGUGAAGAAGGCCUUCGGGUUGUAAAGCACUUUUGUCCGGAAAGAAAUCCUCUGGGUUAAUACCCCGGGGGGAUGACGGUACCGGAAGAAUAAGCACCGGCUAACUACGUGCCAGCAGCCGCGGUAAUACGUAGGGUGCGAGCGUUAAUCGGAAUUACUGGGCGUAAAGCGUGCGCAGGCGGUGAUGUAAGACCGAUGUGAAAUCCCCGGGCUUAACCUGGGAACUGCAUUGGUGACUGCAUCGCUGGAGUAUGGCAGAGGGGGGUAGAAUUCACGUGUAGCAGUGAAAUGCGUAGAGAUGUGGAGGAAUACCGAUGGCGAAGGCAGCCCCCUGGGCCAAUACUGACGCUCAUGCACGAAAGCGUG